Long non-coding RNA from Melospiza melodia melodia, 733 nucleotides. RefSeq lists it as uncharacterized. Lineage: Eukaryota; Metazoa; Chordata; Aves; Passeriformes; Passerellidae. The record is from RefSeq and is a predicted model, not a curated record. The transcript is spliced from 3 exons.
AGGAGCUUUCUGAACUUGGAGAAGGUUGGUAAACAGGAGGUUGACAGCCAAAUGUUGGUGCCCCCCCACAUCGAGGGAAUGGGGACUGUGUUGCAUGGAUGUGUUCCAGUUGGAGGAGAGCUUUGCUCUGCGGAGAUGCUCUUGGGUCAGGUGAAGACAGCAGGAUUCUUGCAAACCAGAUGGAGAGAGAAGAAAUCACACAAUUUAAAAGAAAGAGGCAGCAAGGAUUCUCCUUCUUGCAACAACUCUUCAGCCGCAGGAGUUUCUGAGCCCGUCCCAAGAAAGGAUUCCUGAUGGGACAUUUCCUGUUCACACUGCUGUCUUUCUCAUGAGAAUCCACUCUCAGACCCCAUGCCUCCUCGUGGACUCUGACAGAUGGUGGCAUCCAACUGGACCCUGACUGAGCAGAGUAAGGAGGAGUCAGGGACAUGAGACAAUACUGGUGCUGCUGGAGUGUGAGCCAUAAUCCACAGCCAACACUAGUGUUAUAAGAACCGCAACAAGAAUAAAAAAUACCUCUGUGAUUGCUUGUGGCCACUCCAAAUGAAAACAAUGCAACAGAUCUCAAGAAUGCAAAGUUGCUUCAAGAGAUUUAUUCCAAUUUGCUUAAUGCAUGAUGAAUUAUACCUAUGGGGCCCUGUUCCUGUGAAAAGAUUUCCCAGGAAGUGUUAAGCAUAUCUGAUGCUUAUCAAGAAUGCCUAGGAAUAAUCAAAUAUAUUUGAUACUCUGUAUA